This 429-nucleotide ribosomal RNA is filed under the name Bacteroidota bacterium. Its description in RNAcentral is "Bacteroidetes bacterium partial 16S ribosomal RNA". It matches the Rfam family "Bacterial small subunit ribosomal RNA", at positions 355 to 776 of the family's 1533-position model. Lineage: Bacteria; Pseudomonadati; Bacteroidota. The record is from RNAcentral.
UAGGGAAUCUUCGGCAAUGGGGGGAACCCUGACCGAGCAACGCCGCGUGAGUGAAGAAGGUUUUCGGAUCGUAAAGCUCUGUUGUUAAGGAAGAACGAGUGUGAGAAUGGAAAGUUCAUGCUGUGACGGUACUUAACCAGAAAGGGACGGCUAACUACGUGCCAGCAGCCGCGGUAAUACGUAGGUCCCGAGCGUUGUCCGGAUUUAUUGGGCAUAAAGCGAGCGCAGGCGGUUAGAAAAGUCUGAAGUGAAAGGCAGUGGCUCAACCAUUGUAGGCUUUGGAAACUGUUUAACUUGAGUGCAGAAGGGGAGAGUGGAAUUCCAUGUGUAGCGGUGAAAUGCGUAGAUAUAUGGAGGAACACCGGUGGCGAAAGCGGCUCUCUGGUCUGUAACUGACGCUGAGGCUCGAAAGCGUGGGGAGCGAACAGG